AUCUGCUUUGGAGGUCAUCUUUGCCUUUUGCAGACACAUGUAGAAACAAAAUUAACUGCACACAAGAAUGAAGAAGGACUUAUUUUGUGGGUUCCCCUUUCCUAGUCGAGAGAUUAUUAAUGUGUCUGAAAAGAAAAAUCAGAAAAAAAAAACAAAACAAACAACUUUUAUCAUUAGAGAAUUUUGCCAGGAGGGCUGUGAUGAUUUAGCUGAAGACAGUUUAUUUUUUUAAAAAUGUAUUCGUAUAGUAGUUUUUCUG
This 259-nucleotide long non-coding RNA is filed under the name Pan troglodytes (chimpanzee). Its description in RNAcentral is "long non-coding RNA NONPTRT013333". Lineage: Eukaryota; Metazoa; Chordata; Mammalia; Primates; Hominidae. The record is from RNAcentral.